GCCACUAUGGCUCAGUGGUAGAGCAUCAGGUUUUUAAACUGCAGGUCUGUAGUUCGAUCCUGCAUGUGGGCG
RNAcentral lists this transfer RNA (72 nucleotides) under Morus notabilis. It matches the Rfam family "tRNA". From Rfam's summary of the family: Transfer RNA (tRNA) molecules are approximately 80 nucleotides in length. Their secondary structure includes four short double-helical elements and three loops (D, anti-codon, and T loops). Lineage: Eukaryota; Viridiplantae; Streptophyta; Magnoliopsida; Rosales; Moraceae. The record is from Rfam by way of RNAcentral.